Molecule: long non-coding RNA, 229 nt
Organism: Parambassis ranga (Indian glassy fish)
Lineage: Eukaryota; Metazoa; Chordata; Actinopteri; Ambassidae
Source: Ensembl
CAUUGAUUAAGUGAUCUGUCAACAGAAAAAAAACAAUGUUCCUGGCUCCAGAUGUUGAGAUGAGGACUCCAGUAUUGAAUCAAUAAAAAAGGAGAAGUUUCAACUCGUCACAUGGCUUCUUGGAAACUGUAACAGGAUUUUCCACAAUGGUUCAGCCCUCCGUAGCUUUCUUCCAUUCCUGCUCCCUAUUGGCUGCUGUCCUCAGAGGGUGGAUAUAAGUAUGGGGUAA